This 699-nucleotide ribosomal RNA is filed under the name Lacticaseibacillus rhamnosus. RNAcentral's name for it is "bacterial SSU rRNA". It matches the Rfam family "Bacterial small subunit ribosomal RNA", at positions 152 to 840 of the family's 1533-position model. Lineage: Bacteria; Bacillati; Bacillota; Bacilli; Lactobacillales; Lactobacillaceae. The record is from RNAcentral.
GGAAACAGAUGCUAAUACCGCAUAAAUCCAAGAACCGCAUGGUUCUUGGCUGAAAGAUGGCGUAAGCUAUCGCUUUUGGAUGGACCCGCGGCGUAUUAGCUAGUUGGUGAGGUAACGGCUCACCAAGGCAAUGAUACGUAGCCGAACUGAGAGGUUGAUCGGCCACAUUGGGACUGAGACACGGCCCAAACUCCUACGGGAGGCAGCAGUAGGGAAUCUUCCACAAUGGACGCAAGUCUGAUGGAGCAACGCCGCGUGAGUGAAGAAGGCUUUCGGGUCGUAAAACUCUGUUGUUGGAGAAGAAUGGUCGGCAGAGUAACUGUUGUCGGCGUGACGGUAUCCAACCAGAAAGCCACGGCUAACUACGUGCCAGCAGCCGCGGUAAUACGUAGGUGGCAAGCGUUAUCCGGAUUUAUUGGGCGUAAAGCGAGCGCAGGCGGUUUUUUAAGUCUGAUGUGAAAGCCCUCGGCUUAACCGAGGAAGUGCAUCGGAAACUGGGAAACUUGAGUGCAGAAGAGGACAGUGGAACUCCUGGUGUAGCGGUGAAAUGCGUAGAUUUAUGGAAGAACACCAGUGGCGAAGGCGGCUGUCUGGUCUGUAACUGACGCUGAGGCUCGAAAGCAUGGGUAGCGAACAGGAUUAGAUACCCUGGUAGUCCAUGCCGUAAACGAUGAAUGCUAGGUGUUUGGAAGGGUUUCC